AUUAGAUGAGCCUAUAUUAGAUUAGCUAGUUGGUGGAGUAAUAGCCUACCAAGGCAAUGAUCUAUAGCUGAUCUGAGAGGAUGAUCAGCCACACUGGAACUGAGAUACGGUCCAGACUCCUACGGGAGGCAGCAGUGGGGAAUAUUGGACAAUGGGCGAAAGCCUGAUCCAGCCAUGCCGCAUGAGUGAAGAAGGCCUUUGGGUUGUAAAGCUCUUUUAGUGAGGAAGAUAAUGACGGUACUCACAGAAGAAGUCCUGGCUAACUCCGUGCCAGCAGCCGCGGUAAUACGGAGAGGGCUAGCGUUAUUCGGAAUUAUUGGGCGUAAAGGGCGCGUAGGCUGAUUAAUAAGUUAAAAGUGAAAUCCCGAGGCUUAACCUUGGAAUUGCUUUUAAAACUAUUAAUCUAGAGAUUGAAAGAGGAUAGAGGAAUUCCUGAUGUAGAGGUAAAAUUCGUAAAUAUUAGGAGGAACACCAGUGGCGAAGGCGUCUAUCUGGUUCAAAUCUGACGCUGAAGCGCGAAGGCGUGGGGAGCAAACAGGAUUAGAUACCCCUGGUAGUCCACGCUGUAAACGAUGAAUGUUAAAUAUGGGAAG
RNAcentral lists this ribosomal RNA (593 nucleotides) under Wolbachia endosymbiont of Bemisia tabaci. RNAcentral's name for it is "bacterial SSU rRNA". It matches the Rfam family "Bacterial small subunit ribosomal RNA", at positions 220 to 829 of the family's 1533-position model. Lineage: Bacteria; Pseudomonadati; Pseudomonadota; Alphaproteobacteria; Rickettsiales; Anaplasmataceae. The record is from RNAcentral.